Long non-coding RNA from Nothobranchius furzeri (turquoise killifish), 468 nucleotides. RefSeq lists it as uncharacterized. Lineage: Eukaryota; Metazoa; Chordata; Actinopteri; Cyprinodontiformes; Nothobranchiidae. The record is from RefSeq and is a predicted model, not a curated record.
AAAUAAUAAUAAUAAAAUAAAAAAAAAACCUGAAGCUAACCCUGGCUAACCCAAAGCUAAAGCGGAGGUGGGAGCCGAGCUAACGGAUGUAGCCACCUAGCUUCAACCCAACCGGAGCUAACUGGAACACCCAUCGACCUGAACCUCACACGGAGUUUAGGUGGAGGUUUUCUGCGCCUGUUCGUGAGAAGUACCUGUAUUAAAAAAGAUUUAAAUCGAUCUGUUUAAAUGUCACCAUGGCAGCCUGUGUGUCUCCAACAUCAGCUACACAAAGCAGCUAGUCCAUUUGGAUCAUUGGAGACAGCUAUGUGAGGCGUGGUGCCCAGAGAGCUGCAGAGACAACCUUGGCCUCCCUGACGUCUGUGUCUCCUGGUUCGGUUGGGGCGGACCAUCGACAUACAUACAUGUGCCGACACUUUGCGCCCUGUUUUAUAAAAUUUAGUGUUAAAAAUAAAUGUUUUUGCUCAA